This 337-nucleotide unclassified non-coding RNA is filed under the name soil metagenome. Its description in RNAcentral is "partial contains 5.8S ribosomal RNA, internal transcribed spacer 2, and large subunit ribosomal RNA". The stretch from base 1 to 120 matches the Rfam family "5.8S ribosomal RNA", at positions 35 to 154 of the family's 154-position model. The record is from RNAcentral.
GAUGAAGAACGUAGCGAAAUGCGAUAAGUAAUGUGAAUUGCAGAAUUCAGUGAAUCAUCGAAUCUUUGAACGCACAUUGCGCCCGCCAGUAUUCUGGCGGGCAUGCCUGUUCGAGCGUCAUUUCAACCAUCAAGCCCCCCGGCUUGUGUUGGGGACCUGCGGCUGCCGCAGGCCCUGAAAAGCAGUGGCGGGCUCGCUGUCACACCGAGCGUAGUAGAUCUCAUCUCGCUCAGGGCGUGCUGCGGGUUCCGGCCGUUAAACCACCUUCAUAACCCAAGGUUGACCUCGGAUCAGGUAGGAAGACCCGCUGAACUUAAGCAUAUCAAUAAGCGGAGGA